This 431-nucleotide ribosomal RNA is filed under the name uncultured bacterium. Its description in RNAcentral is "partial 16S ribosomal RNA". It matches the Rfam family "Bacterial small subunit ribosomal RNA", at positions 29 to 507 of the family's 1533-position model. The record is from RNAcentral.
AACGAACGCUGGCGGCAGGCUUAACACAUGCAAGUCGAGCGCCUCGCAAGAGGAGCGGCAGACGGGUGAGUAACGCGUGGGAACGUACCCUUAUCUUCGGAAUAGCUCUGGGAAACUGGGAGUAAUACCGAAUGUGCCCUUAGGGGGAAAGAUUUAUCGGAUAAGGAUCGGCCCGCGUUGGAUUAGCUAGUUGGUGGGGUAAAGGCCUACCAAGGCGACGAUCCAUAGCUGGUCUGAGAGGAUGAUCAGCCACAUUGGGACUGAGACACGGCCCAAACUCCUACGGGAGGCAGCAGUGGGGAAUAUUGGACAAUGGGCGCAAGCCUGAUCCAGCCAUGCCGCGUGAGUGAUGAAGGCCUUAGGGUUGUAAAGCUCUUUCACCGGAGAAGAUAAUGACGGUAUCCGGAGAAGAAGCCCCGGCUAACUUCGUG